GUAUCUUUGUUAUUUCCAUUACUCAAUACAUUCUAUAACAUUGUGAAAAUGUGUGAACAUAGACCUAGAAAAUACAAGGUGAAGCUGACUUUGCAGCAACUCCUCAAUCUAUUUGAAGCAAUAAGAAAUACUCCAGAUCUACAAUAUGUGCACAGUUGGAAAAAUAAAGAAAACAAGUGUGCACUUGUCAAAGACCAGCAACAACCUGUUCAGAUUUAUUUCAAUAAUGAUCCUUCCGCAGGUUCACCUACGGAAA
RNAcentral lists this unclassified non-coding RNA (256 nucleotides) under uncultured fungus. RNAcentral describes it as "sequence contains ITS1, 5.8S rRNA gene". Lineage: Eukaryota; Fungi. The record is from RNAcentral.